RNAcentral lists this ribosomal RNA (253 nucleotides) under uncultured bacterium. Its description in RNAcentral is "partial 16S ribosomal RNA". It matches the Rfam family "Bacterial small subunit ribosomal RNA", at positions 524 to 776 of the family's 1533-position model. The record is from RNAcentral.
UACGAAGGGGGCUAGCGUUGCUCGGAAUCACUGGGCGUAAAGCGCACGUAGGCGGCUUCUUAAGUCAGGGGUGAAAUCCUGGAGCUCAACUCCAGAACUGCCCUUGAUACUGAGGAGCUCGAGUCCGGAAGAGGUGAGUGGAACUGCGAGUGUAGAGGUGAAAUUCGUAGAUAUUGGGAAGAACACCGGUGGCGAAGGCGGCGCUCUGGACCGAGACUGACGCUGAGGCGCGAAAGCGUGGGGAGCAAACAGG